RNAcentral lists this ribosomal RNA (456 nucleotides) under uncultured bacterium. Its description in RNAcentral is "bacterial SSU rRNA". It matches the Rfam family "Bacterial small subunit ribosomal RNA", at positions 338 to 795 of the family's 1533-position model. The record is from RNAcentral.
CCUACGGGGGGCUGCAGUAAGGAAUAUUGCUCAAUGGGGGAAACCCUGAAGCAGCAACGCCGCGUGAAGGAUGAAAUACUUUUGUAUGUAAACUCCUGUAAGAUGGGAAAAAUAUUCUCCUCGGGAGAAUUGAUUGUACCAUCAGAGUAAGCCCCGGCUAACUACGUGCCAGCAGCCGCGGUAAUACGUAGGGGGCAAGCGUUGUCCGGAUUCACUGGGUGUAAAGGGUGCUCAGGCGGACUUGUAAGUCAGAGGUGAAACUCCGAAGCUUAACUUCGGAACUGCCUUUGAUACUGCAAGUCUCGAGUACGGGAGAGGGUAAUGGAAUAACAGGUGUAGCAGUGAAAUGCGUAGAUAUCUGUUAGAACACCAAUGGCGAAGGCAGUUGCCUGGCCCGUUACUGACGCUAAAGCACGAAAGUGUGGGUAGCAAACAGGAUUAGAUACCCUGGUAGUC